GUCAUUGGGCCAGGGACUGCCCUCAGUAUAGUCGGAUUGCUCCCGCUCCUCAUGCAGCUCCCCCAGCUUUACCAGCACCUCCAGUUAGAGGCCGUGGUCAGGGUCAGGACCGUAGAGGUGGUCAGCAGGGUAUACGGGGUGGUCCCCGAGGAGGCAGGUCAGGUGAUAGGUUUGAUAGUCAGGGCAGAGGCAGAUAUAGCCAUUUCUAUAUAUCUCCAGCGAGGGCGGAGGCUGAGGCAUCAGACGAUGUGAUCAUAGGUACUAUUCUUUUAUGCCAGUGGCCCGCCUUGGCGUUAUUUGAUCCAGGCUCUACUUUUUUGUAUGUUUCUGUUUAUUAUGACUCUCGAUUGAGUAUGAUGUCUGAGCCUUUGGUUGCGUCGUUGAGUGUGUCGACCCCCGUGGGUGAGUCUUUAGUAGUGGAUCAGAUAUUUCGAUCUUGCUUAGUUACUAUCCAGUGGCGUGACACCCGGGCUGACCUUAAAUUGCUUGACAUGGUAGAUUUCAAUAUGAUUCUUGGCAGGGACUGGUUAUCCCCUUAUCGCGCUAUUUUAAAUUUCUUUUCUAAGACCGUUACCUUUGCCAAUCGUUGUAUCCCUCCGGUGGUGUGGCAGGGGUCUUGUGGUAGCACACCAGUUGGGUUUAUCUCUUUUAUUCGUGCUAGGAGGCUAGUGGCUAGUGGAUGCCUAUCAUAUUUGGCAUAUGUGCAUGAUGUUAGUAGGGAGGUUCCUCCGGUUUAGUCAGUUCCUGUUGUUCGUGACUACUUACAUAUGUUUCCUACUGACCAACCUGGCCUACCCCCGAAGCGUGAUACUGAUUUUCCGAUUGAGCUUGAGCCAGGUACUCAGCCUAUUUCCAUUCCGCCAUAUCGGAUGGCUCCUGCAGAGCUCAAGAAGCGCAGUGUUCAGCUUCAGGAUCUCUUGUGAAAGGGAUUUAUCAGACCUGUGUAUCAUCUUGGGGUGUUCCCGUUCUUUUUGUUAAGAACAAAGACGAUACGAUGCGCAUGUUCAUUGACUAUAGGCAAUUGAAUAAGGUGACAGUGAAGAAUCGAUAUACUCUGCCUAGAAUUGAUGACCUAUUUGACCAGCUACAAGGAGGUUCAGUGUUCUCUAAGAUUGAUUUGAGGUUCGGUUACCACCAGUUGAGGAUUAGGGCAGCGGACAUCCCUAACACUGCAUUUAGGACCCGUUAUGGACAUUAUGAGUUCUUGGUGAUGUCAUUUGGGUUGACUAAUCCCCCUGCUGCCUUUUUGAACUUUAUGAUGGGUGUGUUCAUGUCUUAUCUUGAUUCCUUCGUCAUAGUCUUCAUUGAUGACAUUUUGAUAUACUCGCGGUGUAGGGGUGAUCAUGAGCAGCAUUUGAGAGUUGUGCUCUAGACUUUGAGAGAUCAGCGGCAUUAUGCCAAGUUCUCAAAGUGUCAGUUUUGGUUAGACUCUGUAGCUUUCUUGGGGCAUGUUGUAUCGAAGGAGGGCAUUAUGGUAGAUUCGGCGAAGAUUGAGGCUAUUCGUGAUUGGGAUAGGCCCAUCUCAGUUACUGAGAUUUGGAGCUUCGUCGGACUAGCAAGCUACUACAGACGAUUUUUGGAGGGUUUCUUUACCUUGGCAGCACCACUGACCCUGUUGACUUGUGUCGAUGUUCCCUUUGUUUGGUCAGAGGAGUGUGAGGCGAGCAUUUUGAGGCUCAAGGAGUUAUUGAGAAUCGCUCCUAUAUUGACUCUUCCAGUUGAGGGCGAGGGCUUCAUGGUUUAUUGUGAUGCAUCUGGCGUUGGUUUGGGUUGUGUAUUGAUGCAGCAGGGCCGGGUUAUUGCUUAUGUGUUUGGGCAUCUUAAGAUUUAUGAGCGCUACUACCCCACCCAUGACUUAGAGUUGGCGGCGGUUGUUUUCACACUAAAUAUUUCGAGGCACUACUUGUAUAGAGUUCGAUGUGAGCUCUAUAUCGAACACAGGAGUUUUCAGUACAUCAUGAGCCAGAGGGACCUUAAUUCUAGGCAGCGUCAUUGGAUUGAGCUUCUGAAGGACUAUGACCUCUUUAUUCUCUAUCAUUCGGGCAAGGCGAAUGUGGAAGCGGACGCCUUGAGCCGAAAGGCGGUGAGUAUGGGUAGCCUAGCCUUCUUAUCUGUUGAGGAGCGACCCUUGGCUAUGGACAUUCAGUUCUUAGCCAAUAGCAUGGUUCGGUUGGAUAACUCAGAUCCUAGACGUGUCUUGGCCCAUAUGGGAGUCAAUCUUCCUUGCUGGAUAGGAUCCGUGGUUUUCAGUUUGAGGAUGAGGCCUUUGUGGGCCUUAGAUAUCGAGUGUUAGCGGGUGAUAAUGGUCUGGCUACCAUAGAUCCUGAUGGAGUGUUGAGAUUCGCCGGCCGCAGCUUUGUUCCGAGAGUUGGAGAUUUGAUUCAAUUGAUACUUUCUGAGGGCCAUGAGUCUAGAUACUCCAUCCAUCUGGGCACAUCGAAUAUGUAUCGUGAUUUGAGGCAGCAUUACUGGUGGAGUGGCAUGAGGAGAGAUAUUGUUGACGUUGUUUCCCUUUGCUUGUACUACCAGCAAGUAAAGGCAGAGCAUUCGAGGCCUGGUGGUGAGUUUCAGAGAUUACCCAUUCCGGAGUGGAAGUGGGAGCGUAUCACUAUGGACUCAUUAUGGGGUUGCCUCGAACUUCUAAAGGUGUUGACAGCAUUUGGGUCUUUGUUGAUCGAUUGACCAAGUCAGCACAUUUCCUUCCUGUUCAGUCUUCAUUUAGCGCUGAGUGGUUGUCCCCUAUCUACAUUCGGGAUGUCGUUCGACUACAUGGGGUGCCAGUUUCUAUUAUAUCAGAUCAGGGUUCUCAGUUCACGUCUAGCUUUUGGAGGACCUUUCCGGAUGAGUUGGGCACUCGAGUUGACCUUAGCACAACAUUCCACCCGUAGACGGAUGGCCAAUCGGAGCGUACUAUUCAGGUCCUUGAGGAUAUGUUGUGGGCCUGUGCUAUGGAUUUUGGAGGUCAGUGGGACCAGUUUUUACCUUUGGCGAAGUUUACCGUUAUAUGGUACGCAAUGUUGCUCUCCAGUUGGUUGGUUUAAGUCUACAGAGUCUAGGCCGCGUGGUACAAAUUUGCUUCAAGAGGCCCUAGAUCAGGUGAGGGUGAUUCAGAAUAGGCUCAGGACGGCUCAGAGUAGGCACCAGAGUUAUGCGGAUCGGAGGCGCCGACCUUUCAAAUUCUCUGUUGGUGAUCGGGUAUUCCUCCGUGUGUCACCCAUGAAGGGCGUUAUGAGGUAUGGGAGGCGGGGCAAGCUUAGCCCUAGGUACAUUGGGCCUUUUGAGAUACUCCGAACAGUUGGGGAGGUCGCUUAUGAGUUGGCGCUACCUCCAGCAUAUUCAGGCAUCCACCCGGUUUUCCAUGUCUCGAUGUUGCGGCGAUAUGUUCCUGAUCAGUCCAAUGUGCUCCAGUAUGAUGCAGUCGGGUUGGAUGAUCGUUUGACAUUUGUAGAGGAGUCAGUUGUCAUUCUAGCCAGUGAUGUGAGGAGAUUGCGCUCAAGAGCCAUUCCUGUUGUUAAGGUCCGUUGGAGGCAUCGUCCAGUCGAGGAGGCUACCUGGGAGACCGAGCAGGAUAUGCGAGAGCAGUUUUACGGCUUGUUUGAGCCUUCAGGUACUUUUUGAUCCUUUCUUUUGCGGACGAAAGUCCUUUUUAGUAGUGGAUGUUGUAAUGACCCUCCAAGUCAUUUCUUUGUCUUGCCUUCUGUGUGUCGUUUAGAUUGUUCCUGUAGCGACCCCAAGUAAUUUAUGACUUACUGGGACUAACAGUUCGGUCACCUGGUCGUUUGUUUGGUCUUGGUGUGAGUUUUUAUGUUUUGGAGCAUAUGAACCUUGAACGAUCAUUUUCGAUCAAAAGUUCAAGAAGAUGACAUCGGAAUCCAAUUCUAACGAUUCAAUCAGCUCCGGAAGGGUCAUUUUUGGCUAGUAGCAUGGUUGACAUUACUCCCGAGGAUUUCAGUGUGAGUCGCCGCAAUUAGGCGUUUUAAUUUUAAGUUUAUACCUAAGUUUGACUUUGGUAAACAUUCUGAGUAAACGCACUCGUAUGAGAAUUCCGUCAGCGCGGUUGGAUUCGGAAUAUCGAGAUUGGUCUAGAUUGACCCUUAUUUUGUGUCUCGAGGUUUUCAAAAUCUUUCCAAGCCCUUUUGUGGGUUUUGACUUAAAAUGGCCUUUGGAAGUGGGACCCAUUUUUUAUCUGGAUGACCUCUGAUGGAAAUUUUGACUAUGCCGUUGAGUCCGGAAUAUUAAAUUUGGUAUGGUUGCAUAUCUCGUUUGCAUGCACGGGGUUCCGAACGAGUUCGGAGCACCUCGUCGGAGUUUUUAGUUUUGGAAAAACAUUGCAGCAAAUAUGUUAUUAAUGCAAAAAAACAGCAACCUUUUCCAAACCUUCAAACUCUCAUAACUCUCUCAUCUAUUGUCCGAAUUAGGUGAUUCGAAGUGCGGGAGCUUCGUAUUUUCGGUGAAUUUUCUGUUAAGUGUUCAGAAGGUGAUGGGUGCACAUAGUUCGAGGUAAUUUCGCGAUUUACCUGACUACUGUACCCUUUUUUCGAGCCUUUGUUUUUGGAAUUCUUGUUUUGGUCAUAUCUGUCUCAUUUAAUCUCGGUUUUGGGUGAUUCAAAGUCCCACGUGUUGAUAAUUAUCGAGACUUCGUCGUAGAGUGUUCAAAGAGUGCUGGGCACCUUUCGAUUAUCAUUUUUUCCAAGUUUGGACUGCUGCUGCUUUCUUUUUUUUAGUUGACUAAAGUGUGGUUUCUUGUUUGUUUGUUUUUGCUAUAUUUUGAGCCUCGAAUUGUGUUCCAUUUCGGAACAUAAGUUUGGGGUGCUAUUUAGGGUCUCUUGACGGAGUCAAAUACAGACAGUUCGGUGCCGGUCCCAUGAUUCCCGUUUUGACUCCAAAUUUGACCCGUCUCCGUUUGUUGUGACUUCGGUGUCUAAACGAUCAUACUAACGUUGUGAUCCUAUAUUUGAUAGAGUGACAGCGUUCAAAGGUCAUUAGGGAAGGAAAAACUACGGUAAAGUGAUUUGGAGUGCGCGAGGUUGGCCUUAAGGUAGGCUACGACUUCCUUUCUUUUAGAUUGAGCUUAACUGUGUAAGAACAUGUCGAUUGGAGUGAAUUGGGGGUGGGUACCAAUUUACUACCUUACUUUGAUUAGAUAACUCAUGUUAGGAUCGAUUGGCCAUAUUUCGGGUAUAGUAUCAUGUUAACCGUUUUAGUAGAGUUGCAUGCUUAUGUGCUAAAUGUUAUUGUUUGCUUGUAUGCUAUGUAUCAUAUGCCUUGUUCAUCCUUAACUGUAAGAAUGAUGUCCUUAGUCUAGGUUAGGCUAGCAUUGACUUAGACUUAUGACCCGUGUGGGCUGGAUAGCCUUGACUUGCUGCCGACGUCGUUCAGAUGACUUAGCUCCUUGUAGAUUGGAAUAGCAGACUUGAGUUUGAUAGUUUGAGCCUAAGAUUAGGCGUUAUUGCUACCUGCUGCAUUUUUGUAUCUUCCCCUUCUCAUUCUACGGUUCCGACGCAUUCUCGAAGGUUUGGUGCAUCACUAGAGGCGUGGGAUUGAGAUAGUAUAGGCUUGGAGCCUUUUCUGUGAUGUCUUAGAAUGGACGGCGUUCCACGGUGGUGGUUGCUGGAUUGAAUCCUAUUGUAGAUACCAUCACCCUCGGGGCCGUUCUUUCAAGAUGUGCUGGGAACGUAUCGUUCGCUGGGUAGACUCGGUGAUAUCGGCGAUCGCCCCCGGGCCUCUCUUUCUAGCUGGGCUGGGAAGUGUGCUGCUGGCUGGGUGUCCUCGGGUCGCUCUUUCUAGCUGGGCUGGGAGCUGACUGCAUGGUAGGACGAAUCGCGAUAUUUACCUCACUCACGGGUCCCUCUUUCUAGCUGGGCUGGGAGUGGACNNNNNNNNNNNNNNNNNNNNNNNNNNNNNNNNNNNNNNNNNNNNNNNNNNNNNNNNNNNNNNNNNNNNNNNNNNNNNNNNNNNNNNNNNNNNNNNNNNNNNNNNNNNNNNNNNNNNNNNNNNNNNNNNNNNNNNNNNNNNNNNNNNNNNNNNNNNNNNUUUCUCAGUAGACUUAGCUUUUCUGUGUACCUAUCGGGCUUAUGGGGUUUAGUUCAGGUUUUAUUUGACCUUGCGCACGAGUGUACCUUCUAGGCAUACGGGGGUCCAGUUAGGUUUAGUUUAGUUGUACUUAGUUUGUUUCUGGUAUGCUCGUGUUCUUUAUUUUCGUAUCCGCUUUAACCUCUCUGUGUCUAGAUUCUAUCCUUUCUAAUUGUUUUUACCCUUUUAACUCAGUCGGCCUAUGAUGCCUACUUAGUACCUGCUGUGUUGGUACUCAUGCUACGCUCUGCAUCUAUUUCAUGAUGCAGGUCCCAGUACAAGUUAGUUCCAGCCUUCUUUUUCAGCUGUGAUUCGGAGACGAGAGCGAGCACUUGACGUUUAGGUUUGUUAUGUCUCCUUCUUUUGUUUUUCGCUAGUUUUGUUGCCUUUGAGACAUGCUCUGUUGUGGUCCACUUUUCGGACUUGUACUCUUUAUUAGAUAGCUCUGUAUAGUCGGAUUACUCCCGCUCCUCAUGCAGCUCCCCCAUCUUUACCAGCACCUCCAAUUAGAGGUCGUGGUCAGGGUUAGGACCGUAGAGGUGGUCAGCAGGGUAUACGGGGUGGUCCCCGAGGAGGCAGGUCAGGUGGUAGGUUUGAUGGUCAGGGCUGAGGCAGACACAGCCA
This 6696-nucleotide long non-coding RNA is filed under the name Solanum tuberosum (potato). Its description in RNAcentral is "long non-coding RNA (STUB_LNC009820)". Lineage: Eukaryota; Viridiplantae; Streptophyta; Magnoliopsida; Solanales; Solanaceae. The record is from RNAcentral.